GUGUCAGCCGCCGCGGUAAUACGUAGGGUCCAAGCGUUAAUCGGAAUUACUGGGCGUAAAGCGUGCGCAGGCGGUUGUGCAAGACCGAUGUGAAAUCCCCGAGCUUAACUUGGGAAUUGCAUUGGUGACUGCACGGCUAGAGUGUGUCAGAGGGGGGUAGAAUUCCACGUGUAGCAGUGAAAUGCGUAGAGAUGUGGAGGAAUACCGAUGGCGAAGGCAGCCCCCUGGGAUAACACUGACGCUCAUGCACGAAAGCGUGGGGAGCAAACAGGAUUAGAUACCCUGGUAGUCCACGCCCUAAACGAUGUCAACUAGUUGUUGGGGAUUCAUUUCCUUAGUAACGUAGCUAACGCGUGAAGUUGACCGCCUGGGGAGUACGGUCGCAAGAUUAAA
Molecule: ribosomal RNA, 393 nt
Filed under: uncultured bacterium
Lineage: Bacteria
Description: bacterial SSU rRNA
Rfam family: Bacterial small subunit ribosomal RNA
Source: RNAcentral